RNAcentral lists this ribosomal RNA (253 nucleotides) under uncultured bacterium. RNAcentral describes it as "partial 16S ribosomal RNA". It matches the Rfam family "Bacterial small subunit ribosomal RNA", at positions 524 to 776 of the family's 1533-position model. The record is from RNAcentral.
CACGUAGGGCGCAAGCGUUGUCCGGAAUUAUUGGGCGUAAAGAGCUCGUAGGCGGUCUGUUACGUCUGCUGUGAAAACCCAGGGCUUAACCCUGGGCUUGCAGUGGAUACGGGCAGACUAGAGGCAGGUAGGGGAGAAUGGAAUUCCCGGUGUAGCGGUGAAAUGCGCAGAUAUCGGGAGGAACACCGGUGGCGAAGGCGGUUCUCUGGGCCUGACCUGACGCUGAGGAGCGAAAGCGUGGGGAGCGAUCCGG